AACAAAGUAUGUCCCAAGGAUCCUUAUCCACUCCAUCAGAUUGACUUGCAAGUAGAUUCUACAACAGCGCACAAGCUUUUGAGCUUCCUAGACUCCUCAGAUUGACUCCCUCAUCUUGAACCAAUACUUAACCAUUCAUACGAGGUAUUGCCCGUUCAAUAGUUUGGUAAGUGAUGAUUAGAUUUUAUAUUAUAUAUUUUACCCUAUUCUUAGUAUAUUUUGGUAAAUAUUUUGGAAGAAUUUUGAUGCUUUGAAUUGUAUUUUCAAUAUAGGACUUUGGACUCCUCUGGAGCAAAACAGGACCAAAUGGACGAAUUUUGGAGUAAUUCCAGUCGGAGGACGUUCGUGAGUCACUUAGCUUGAUCGUAUCAAAAUUUGGGAUUUUUCCACCAAGCGGUUAUUUUCUGGCGAUAAAAUAAAGGAGCGAUGCACGGUAUUGGAAAAUAAAGUUUCUGGGCUUAAAUUGCAUUUUUGGAGCCUAAAAUGACCUCGGAUGGUUUCGUGACCUUCUGGAGAUGUGUUCGGAAUGUCCUAAUAUUUUAAAAAACCUAUCUUGGGCCGGAUUUGGAGGAGAUCUGAGGCUAAAACGUGGCUGAACAAGUACCUAGCAGUUUCCCCUAGUUUAAUUAGGGUUUUAUUUUCUAAGAUAUUUUAUUAUUUUUCUUAGUUUCCUAAUUGGAAUAAGAGACCUAUGUUUUAGGGUUUGUGGAUGGCUUAGCAAAUGUAUUGCUUUGCCGUUCUUAGUUUUGUUCUACGCUUUCUUUUAUGCAACUUUGGAGACAGAGAGAAUUGCUAGGGUUCUUGGAGAUUUUCUACUUUAAGGUGUUUUCAAUCCAUUUCUUAAUAAUAUUUUCUAUGAUUUUAAUUAUGAAUAUGCGUAACUAAUUCCUUUUGCUAGGGCGAAGCCUUGAGCCUUAGCAUAAAUAUCUGAUUUUUAUUUAAUUACUUAUGAUUGAUUGCAUGCAUACUUUAAAUUAUUAAUCACCGGGAUUAAAACUAUCUAAUUGUCUUAAUGCCUGAUCACCAUUUGGAUCUUUAGAAAAGUAAUUUGAUACAAUUUUGGUCGGAAGGUUCCCUGAAAUUGACGUUGGCUUCUUUUAAUUAAUAAUUGUAAUUUCACUUAAGAUGAACACCACGUCUUAAGGGUUGCAUGGUUUUUCAAAGGGUUUUCAUAAAGCAUAAUGAGUCUUUCAUGUUCAUAUUUGAUCCGAACGUCCGGAGGGGUUGCAUAUUAAACAUACGUUCUAUGUUGGAGGUUCCAAGUAGAACGUGAAUUAGGAAAAUCUAACCUUCAAAGUGGCAUGUGUAGAUCAUAAGUAAUUGGUAAAAGUUCAUAAGAUUGCUAGGUGAUGGUGGAACCCUUGUGCUUUCUUAAUUUGAUUUCUCCAAAACUAGUUCCUUUUCUUUCUGCUUUAAUAUUGCAGAUUAGUUUACUUUUAUUAAUUAAAUUCAUUUUUUAAUUUAAGUAGGUUAUAAAAUCAAUCAUCUCAAUUUCUGCUUUACAAUAAUUAAAUAGAAUUUGAUUUGUUUCGAAUUAUUUAAUAAUCCCUGUGGAGAAUGACCUUGCCCGUUUAUACUACAACAACCUUGUAAUUCUUGCAAGUAUUAUAGGAGGUUUUAGCCCGUUCACGUGUGUAGCAAAAUCCCUAUCAAUAAGCCCGAACCGAACCGAAACUUUUUAUAUGUAUUUAUUUUUUAAUUAUAGUUAAAAUUAAUCUUUCAUUCAUAUAUGUAUAUGUAUAUGUAUGUAUGUAUGUAUGUAUAUUAAUUAAACAUCGUUUUCCACCCGAAGAAACCAUAUAUAGCUCAAGGAAAGAUAUUAAGAAGAGAGAGAGAGGAUCUUUUCUUCUCUUUUUCUUCUGGUUGCAAGUAUUAUAGGAGGUUUUAGCCCGUUCACGUGUGUAGCAAAAUCCCUAUCAAUAAGCCCGAACCGAACCGAAACUUUUUAUAUGUAUUUAUUUUUUAAUUAUAGUUAAAAUUAAUCUUUCAUUCAUAUAUGUAUAUGUAUAUGUAUGUAUGUAUG
RNAcentral lists this long non-coding RNA (2023 nucleotides) under Malus domestica (apple). RNAcentral describes it as "long non-coding RNA (MDOM_LNC018652)". Lineage: Eukaryota; Viridiplantae; Streptophyta; Magnoliopsida; Rosales; Rosaceae. The record is from RNAcentral.